UUGAUUUUAGUUAUUUGUGAACGUACUACGAACAAACAAAAAAAAUAUUAUAGUCAAAAAAUUAAAUCA
Molecule: unclassified non-coding RNA, 69 nt
Filed under: soil metagenome
Description: partial internal transcribed spacer 1
Source: RNAcentral